Molecule: ribosomal RNA, 492 nt
Filed under: uncultured bacterium
Lineage: Bacteria
Description: partial 16S ribosomal RNA
Rfam family: Bacterial small subunit ribosomal RNA
Source: RNAcentral
AGUGAACGCUGGCGGUAGGCCUAACACAUGCAAGUCGAACGGCAGCACAGUAAGGGCUUGCUCUUACGGGUGGCGAGUGGCGGACGGUUGAGGAAUACAUCGGAAUCUACUUUUUCGUGGGGGAUAACGUAGGGAAACUUACGCUAAUACCGCAUACCACCUACGGGUGAAAGCAGGGGAUCUUCGUACCUUACGCGAUUUAAGAAGACGAUGUCGGAUUUGCUAGUUGGCGGGGUAAAGGCCCACCAAGGCGACGAUCCGUAGCUGGUCUGAGAGGAUGAUCAGCCACACUGGAACUGAGACACGGUCCAGACUCUUACGGGAGGCAGCAGUGGGGAAUAUUGGACAAUGGGCGAAAGCCUGAUCCAGCCAUACCGCGUGGGUGAAGAAGGCCUUCUGGUUGUAAAGCCCUUUUGUUGGGAAAGAAAAGCAGCAGGUUAAUACCACGCUGUUCUGACGGUACCCAAAGAAUAAGCACCGGCUAACUUCGUG